GGAGAGGUUCCCGAGUGGCUAAAGGGGACGGGCUGUAAACCCGUUGGCGUACGCCUACGGAGGUUCGAAUCCUCCCCUCUCCA
RNAcentral lists this transfer RNA (83 nucleotides) under Nitrospiraceae bacterium. RNAcentral describes it as "tRNA-Tyr". It matches the Rfam family "tRNA". Rfam says of the family: Transfer RNA (tRNA) molecules are approximately 80 nucleotides in length. Their secondary structure includes four short double-helical elements and three loops (D, anti-codon, and T loops). The record is from RNAcentral. RNAcentral also lists the same sequence under 1 other name. Lineage: Bacteria; Pseudomonadati; Nitrospirota; Nitrospiria; Nitrospirales; Nitrospiraceae.